Long non-coding RNA from Diceros bicornis minor, 1119 nucleotides. RefSeq lists it as uncharacterized. The record is from RefSeq and is a predicted model, not a curated record. The transcript is spliced from 3 exons. NCBI's taxonomy places the organism in Eukaryota, Metazoa, Chordata, Mammalia, Perissodactyla, Rhinocerotidae.
GCCUACUCUCCAUGCCCUGCCCACCCACCAGAGUUUUCAUAGUGUGGUUGGGCUGCAUCCAUUAAGGCUGGUACUCAGGUAGGGGUGGGGCUCACCAGCCUGGUUAUUGCUGAGGAUGCUUGCAGCCCUGGUGGAAGCACCCUGGCCAGUAUUUGAAAUGUAAAUUCAAUAUCUAAAAUGGAAAUACCGGGUGCCAGGCAUCCUGGAAUUUGCCUUUUCAAGGCCACCUGUCCUAUCAUCCCCUCCAUCCCUCCAGGCUGCCAUGAUCCUCCCUCUGAACCCCAUGGUCAGUGUCGCUGCAGAGAUCCUCCCUUUGGACCCUGCCUGCCUGAAGGGCCCAUACCUUGAUCAGACGUCUUAGAACGACUGCCCUUAGCCAUGUCAUAAAAAGGAGAAAACAUCAUAUUUGACAACCCCAAUUCCUGCAUUAUACAGACAGGAAACUCAGGUGCACUUCACCACACGCUUCUCAGUUGCGUGGAUGCACAUCUCCACUUCUUUGCAGGGAGGACGAACAACAGCAGAAUACCCGUGGCCUGACUUUCUGGAGCAUCAGUAUUACUACAAGAUUUGGAAAAACCAAAGUUAGGUCAUUUCCAAGGGGUAUGGAGCUCCCAGACUUAUUAACUACACAGAGAGAGGAAGAGUCAGAACACAUUCAAUAAACUCUAGUGUGCUCAGGUGAGAUGGUAAGUGCCUGAACUCACAUCUGAAGAAGAACUUAGAGGAUGCUUUCUGACUCUGCUUCAUGCCUGACUAAGCAGUCCUGGACAUCCCCGUUAUGGCCACAGAAUAACACAGGCAGCCUUGAUGGACCAGAAGUCCUCCUAUGUCCAUCAUUUGUACAGAACAAACUGGCUUAAGACCUCUCAUUUCCUGCUGCAGUGGUAAUUUACAGAGAUACAGAACUGCCAUCUAGUGACUCAGAAGAAAACAGCAAGGUGCUUUACAUGGAAAAUGAAAUUGUAAGUUUUUAAAAAAAGAACAGUGAAGCACUAAAGUUGGUAAAGUUGACACAAAGUUGACAGAAUGUGGCACACGAAUGUUAUAGUAAAACUGGAAAAUGUGUAGGUGAAGUAACCAGUUGUUCUCUAUGCCUCUAAAAUAUGACUUGACAUU